GACGAACGCUGGCGGCGUGCUUAACACAUGCAAGUCGAACGGAAAGGCCCUGCUUUUGUGGGGUGCUCGAGUGGCGAACGGGUGAGUAACACGUGAGUAACCUGCCCUUGACUUUGGGAUAACUUCAGGAAACUGGGGCUAAUACCGGAUAGGAGCUCCUGCUGCAUGGUGGGGGUUGGAAAGUUCCGGCGGUUGGGGAUGGACUCGCGGCUUAUCAGCUUGUUGGUGGGGUAGUGGCUCACCAAGGCUUUGACGGGUAGCCGGCCUGAGAGGGUGACCGGCCACAUUGGGACUGAGGUACGGCCCAGACUCCUACGGGAGGCAGCAGUGGGGAAUAUUGCACAAUGGGCGGAAGCCUGAUGCAGCAACGCCGCGUGCGGGAUGACGGCCUUCGGGUUGCAAACCGCUUUCGCCUGUGACGAAGCGUGAGUGACGGUAAUGGGUAAAGAAGCACCGGCUAACUACGUGCCAGCAGCCGCGGUGAUACGUAGGGUGCGAGCGUUGUCCGGAUUUAUUGGGCGUAAAGGGCUCGUAGGUGGUUGAUCGCGUCGGAAGUGUAAUCUUGGGGCUUAACCCUGAGCGUGCUUUCGAUACGGGUUGACUUGAGGAAGGUAGGGGAGAAUGGAAUUCCUGGUGGAGCGGUGGAAUGCGCAGAUAUCAGGAGGAACACCAGUGGCGAAGGCGGUUCUCUGGGCCUUUCCUGACGCUGAGGAGCGAAAGCGUGGGGAGCGAACAGGCUUAGAUACCCUGGUAGUCCACGCUGUAAACGGUGGGUACUAGGUGUGGGGUCCAUUCCACGGGUUCCGUGCCGUAGCUAACGCUUUAAGUACCCCGCCUGGGGAGUACGGCCGCAAGGCUAAAACUCAAAGGAAUUGACGGGGCCCCGCACAAGCGGCGGAGCAUGCGGAUUAAUUCGAUGCAACGCGUAGAACCUUACCUGGGUUUGACAUGGAUCGGGAGUGCUCAGAGAUGGGUGUGCCUCUUUUGGGGUCGGUUCACAGGUGGUGCAUGGCUGUCGUCAGCUCGUGUCGUGAGAUGUUGGGUUAAGUCCCGCAACGAGCGCAACCCUUGUUCACUGUUGCCAGCACGUUAUGGUGGGGACUCAGUGGAGACCGCCGGGGUCAACUCGGAGGAAGGUGGGGAUGACGUCAAGUCAUCAUGCCCCUUAUGUCCAGGGCUUCACGCAUGCUACAAUGGCUGGUACAGAGAGUGGCGAGCCUGUGAGGGUGAGCGAAUCUCGGAAAGCCGGUCUCAGUUCGGAUUGGGGUCUGCAACUCGACCUCAUGAAGUCGGAGUCGCUAGUAAUCGCAGAUCAGCAACGCUGCGGUGAAUACGUUCCCGGG
Molecule: ribosomal RNA, 1343 nt
Filed under: uncultured bacterium
Lineage: Bacteria
Description: 16S ribosomal RNA
Rfam family: Bacterial small subunit ribosomal RNA
Source: RNAcentral